This 316-nucleotide ribosomal RNA is filed under the name uncultured Enterobacteriaceae bacterium. RNAcentral's name for it is "bacterial SSU rRNA". It matches the Rfam family "Bacterial small subunit ribosomal RNA", at positions 355 to 661 of the family's 1533-position model. The record is from RNAcentral. Lineage: Bacteria; Pseudomonadati; Pseudomonadota; Gammaproteobacteria; Enterobacterales; Enterobacteriaceae.
UGGGGAAUAUUGCACAAUGGGCGCAAGCCUGAUGCAGCCAUGCCGCGUGUAUGAAGAAGGCCUUCGGGUUGUAAAGUACUUUCAGCGAGGAGGAAGGCGUUGUGGUUAAUAACCGCAACGAUUGACGUUACUCGCAGAAGAAGCACCGGCUAACUCCGUGCCAAGCAGCCGCGGUAAUACGGAGGGUGCAAGCGUUAAUCGGAAUUACUGGGCGUAAAGCGCACGCAGGCGGUCUGUCAAGUCGGAUGUGAAAUCCCCCGGGCUCAACCUGGGAACUGCAUCCGAAACUGGCAGGCUAGAGUCUUGUAGAGGGGUA